GCACUGCACCAUUCCCACAACCACUAAACUUCCUGAGCCACAAUGAUCUCCUUUCAGAUCUUGAAAGAAAGCUCACUACGUAGAUUUCGGAAAAAAAUUGAUUUAAUCACGUCAAACUUGGUUGUGGCCACAUUUGAUAAAAAUAAUAAUGCAUGUUUCUUAACAAUCCAUAUUCAUUUAGGUUUCAAAAUGAUGAUACAUGGGACUUCUUGUAAAUUUACCUAUAUAUGUAAUAGAUUUUUUUUUUGUUUAGUUUCAGUUUUCCAAUGACAGAAAACUCUGUUGUCUUUUUCAAUUUUUCAGUGUGUCUUAAAUUGCUUACGGUAGGGAAGUAGGACUUCUGAACAUGAUCAGCUGAUCUUUUGGUCAAACAGUAACUUCCUGACAAAUUUGCUACCAGCACAAGUGAGUUAGGCAGUGACAAGAUGACAACCAGUCCUUCAAGGCUGUUUCUUCAAGAUUAACUUCAUGUCAGGGGCCAGACAGCCUAUGGUGGCUUCAAAAAUGUCUGCUGUCCCUACAAGGAUAACCACAGGGCUCUUAUUCUGGAACUCAGUGCUCCUCCUUCUGCUUGUGUUCUGUCAGAUAUUAACCGUCUUGGUGGUCAAUGCUGGUGUGUUCAUCCUCUCCAAUGAAGUCCUCAUCAGCCCCUCUAACUUUGAUCUACAAAGUUUAAAUGAUGAACUGUCCUGCAGGAGCCAUGCUUGUGGAGCUGAACCUCGAGUAAAAAUCCUCACCCCAGUGGUUGUACUGGGCUUGUAUGCUCCUGUGGUCCUUGUGGCCUUUGCCUUGCUUGCCAUGAUAUUAGCAGCUUACGCCAAAGACAGAACAGUACUCAGGUUGAGCAUGGGCUGCCAGGGUGCAUCGAGCCUGCUCAUUCUGAUGGGCACCAUCAGUUUUUUACUUAUCAAUCAAUCAUAUGUGAGCCAGGAACACAUGACCAUCUGGUUUUAUAUCUGGGUGGGUGUGCCAGUUGAGCUGAUGUUGUCCACUGCGCUGACAUAUGUGUCUGUGCGGAGGCUAAAGUCUUGCUGGGACUAGAGAGGACAAGAAAAAGACAUUAUUGCCCUGUUAACAAAAAUUGAAUCAAUAGAAUGUUAUUAGAGAUAUCAUCAAAACAACGUUCACAUUAUUUUUUCAUGUUUUUGUAAUGUUGUCAAACAGUGUUCAUAUCUUUGCUUGGAUUGUAAUGGUGAUGAAAAAGGUGACAUUAGAUUUAAAGGUCGACCCAUUUUCAGCUUUUCUUUAUUUUGUUUAAUCAGCUGUACUUGUCUGUGCCUGCUGUAACAAAGCUCAUGGUUUGUAGGCAAACAGGUUUGUAAAAGUGAACGCUAACUGCAUAAAUAAAUCUUACUGUGAAGGAAAAAUCCUAAAUAA
Long non-coding RNA from Notolabrus celidotus (New Zealand spotty), 1377 nucleotides. RefSeq lists it as uncharacterized. Lineage: Eukaryota; Metazoa; Chordata; Actinopteri; Labriformes; Labridae. The transcript has 2 exons. The record is from RefSeq and is a predicted model, not a curated record.